RNAcentral lists this ribosomal RNA (380 nucleotides) under uncultured bacterium. RNAcentral describes it as "bacterial SSU rRNA". It matches the Rfam family "Bacterial small subunit ribosomal RNA", at positions 29 to 437 of the family's 1533-position model. The record is from RNAcentral.
AGCGAACGCUGGCGGCAUGCCUAACACAUGCAAGUCGAACGAAGCCUUCGGGCUUAGUGGCGCACGGGUGCGUAACGCGUGGGAAUCUGCCCUCAGGUACGGAAUAACUCAGGGAAACUUGAGCUAAUACCGUAUAAUGACUUCGGUCCAAAGAUUUAUCGCCUGAGGAUGAGCCCGCGUCGGAUUAGCUAGUUGGUGAGGUAAAAGCUCACCAAGGCGACGAUCCGAGCUGGUCUGAGAGGAUGAUCAGCCACACUGGGACUGAGACACGGCCCAGACUCCUACGGGAGGCAGCAGUGGGGAAUAUUGGACAAUGGGCGAAAGCCUGAUCCAGCAAUGCCGCGUGAGUGAUGAAGGCCUUAGGGUUGUAAAGCUCUUUU